AAUAUUGGGACAUAUAAAAAAAGACAACUCUGUUCCGCAGAGUAGCUGUUGACAUUAUAGUUGCGCAGGCACUUUGUUGACUCUAGAGAACCUCGGGCCAAUCGCACAUCCCCGUGGCGGCAACUUUGCAUGCGGAUGUCAUCCAUAUCAACUUUCGAUGCCGGUUUCUGCACCUACCAUGGUGACCAGGGGUAACGGGGAAUCAGGGUUCCAUUCUGUAUAAGGACCCUGAGAAACAGCUACCACAUGCAAGGAAGGCAGCAGGCGAGCAAAUGACCCACUCCCAACGCGGGAAGGUAGUGA
This is a non-coding RNA of Pelobates cultripes (western spadefoot toad), 303 nucleotides long. The record is from the annotation of a GenBank genome assembly. NCBI's taxonomy places the organism in Eukaryota, Metazoa, Chordata, Amphibia, Anura, Pelobatidae.